Molecule: transfer RNA, 93 nt
Filed under: Promethearchaeota archaeon
Lineage: Archaea; Promethearchaeati; Promethearchaeota
Description: Candidatus Lokiarchaeota archaeon (microbial mat metagenome) tRNA-Sec
Rfam family: Selenocysteine transfer RNA
Source: RNAcentral
GGCCUAGGGCGGUCGGAGUGGUCUCCGACACUGGACUUCAAAUUCAGUUGUCCUGCGAAGGGAUAGGGGUUCGAUUCCCCCCUUUGGCCGCCA